RNAcentral lists this ribosomal RNA (253 nucleotides) under uncultured bacterium. Its description in RNAcentral is "partial 16S ribosomal RNA". It matches the Rfam family "Bacterial small subunit ribosomal RNA", at positions 524 to 776 of the family's 1533-position model. The record is from RNAcentral.
UACGUAGGAGACGAGCGUUGUCCGGAAUUACUGGGCGUAAAGCGCGUGUAGGCGGACAGGCAAGUCUGCUGUGAAAGCUCCUGGCUUAACCGGGAGUGGUCGGUGGAAACUGCCCGUCUGGAGGACGGUAGAGGUAGGUAGAAUUCCCGGUGUAGUGGUGAAAUGCGUAGAGAUCGGGAGGAAUACCUGUGGCGAAGGCGGCCUACUGGGCCGGACCUGACGCUGAGACGCGAAGGCGUGGGGAGCGAACGGG